This 492-nucleotide ribosomal RNA is filed under the name uncultured bacterium. RNAcentral describes it as "partial 16S ribosomal RNA". It matches the Rfam family "Bacterial small subunit ribosomal RNA", at positions 29 to 507 of the family's 1533-position model. The record is from RNAcentral.
AGUGAACGCUGGCGGUAGGCCUAAUACAUGCAAGUCGAGCGGCAGCACAGUAAGCGCGUGCCCUUAAGGUUGGCGAGUGGCGGAUGGGUGAGGCAUACAUCGGAAUCCUCUAUUUCGGGGGGGAUUACGUAGGGCCACUUAUGCUACUACAUCAUACGUCCUACGGGUGAGAGCAGAAGAUCUUCGCACUUUGCGCGUCUCAUUGAGCUGGUGCCGGAUUAGCUAGUUGGCGAGGUAAGGGCCCACCAAGGCGACGAUACGUAGCUGAUCUGAGAGGAUGAUCAGCCACACUGGAACUGAGACACGGUCCAGACUCCUACGGGAGGCAGCAGUGGGGAAUAUUGGGCAAUGGGCGAAAGCCUGAUGCAGCCAUGCCGCGUGAGUGAUGAAGGUCUUCGGGUCGUAAAGCCCUUUUGUUGGGAAAGAAAAGAAGUGGGUGAAACCGUGGAUGUUCUGACGGUACCCAAUGAGUAAGCACCGGCUAACUACGUG